GGGCAGUUGGCGCAGUGGUAGCGCGCCUCAUUUGCACCCCCUUCGGUUAGACGCCUUAGGGAUCGAACCUCGGAUCGAUUGAGUUGAGGAGGGCGUGGGUUCAAUCCCCACACUGUCCA
Tulasnella sp. UAMH 9824 is the source of this 119-nucleotide non-coding RNA. NCBI's taxonomy places the organism in Eukaryota, Fungi, Basidiomycota, Agaricomycetes, Cantharellales, Tulasnellaceae. The record is from the annotation of a GenBank genome assembly.